AUGAAUCUCCUCAGUUGGAACUGCCGAGGGGGUGGGAACUCUCGGACAGUUCGUGACCUUGUGAGUCUAGUGCAGGCUCACUCCCCGAGUAUCGUUUUUCUUUGUGAGAAUAGGCAGUCUAAGAACAAGAUGAAUCGUCUUCGUGCUAGGUUAGGUUUGAGAGGUUUUGAUGCUUUUGACUGUGUCGGUCGUAGUGGUGGUCUUGCUUUUUAUUGGCAUGAGUCUUUGAGUCUUGAUGUAAAAGAAAUAAAUGAAUGA
This 258-nucleotide ribosomal RNA is filed under the name Triticum aestivum (bread wheat). RNAcentral describes it as "partial small subunit ribosomal RNA". Lineage: Eukaryota; Viridiplantae; Streptophyta; Magnoliopsida; Poales; Poaceae. The record is from RNAcentral.